GAAAGUUGAUCUUCUCUGCGCUCGUAGGAUUGCAAUCCUUUACUAGGUCAAUAGGAAAGUGGUAUAUAAAAGACCACUUUUUCCGCUUCGAAAUACGUUAUAAACGAUAGAAGCUUUGUCGUCUGACACCUAGUGCAGAUCGGUUUAAUUUCAUAUCAUUGUUCAACCAUGAGGCUGCUGUUCGUUGCCAUCCUCACUUUCCUAGUACUCAUGUCUACAGUUGAGUGGGCUUCGACCCAAACAACAAGACGGCCGCCUGCGUUUAUACAGAGAGGUAUCUGCCGACUAUGCUUGGGAAACAGACAGGCUAGGAAGGAUUGCUGUAGCGACGUGCAGAUGUGUUGCGAUGGCGAUGUCAUAAAUCCUGGAAAUUUCAUCUUUUCAACCACCUCACCCGGAAAAUAGUCUGACAGAUUCUUCCGUUAUGUAACUGUGCCAUGCUGUGUAUGCGUUUUGAAAAAUGUAUAUAAUUAUUUGUAAAUGUGUUCGUAAUAAAUGUGGAAAAAUUAA
Long non-coding RNA from Argiope bruennichi, 510 nucleotides. RefSeq lists it as uncharacterized. The transcript is spliced from 2 exons. NCBI's taxonomy places the organism in Eukaryota, Metazoa, Arthropoda, Arachnida, Araneae, Araneidae. The record is from RefSeq and is a predicted model, not a curated record.